Non-coding RNA from Salvia hispanica, 577 nucleotides. The record is from RefSeq and is a predicted model, not a curated record. NCBI's taxonomy places the organism in Eukaryota, Viridiplantae, Streptophyta, Magnoliopsida, Lamiales, Lamiaceae.
CCUUUCCCCUUUUCCCUUUAAUUAUUACAUAACUUUUCGGAGUUCUCGAUCGAUUAUUGCUUUCAUUACUUGGGUGAUCAAAGUUUGGGAAUCGCACUACUUAGUUCCGGUAAUCUAUAUUGCCAUGUAAAAAGCUUGAUUCUUGAUCACUGAGGCGUUCUUGUUGUUGCUACUAGAUGAGAUUCCUAUCGAAAAUUCUAAGUCCUUGGCUACUACUUGUGGUUGUUCUACACAUGAUGCAAGAUAAGGUGUUGGGGUGUUGAGGUAUAUGCGUUGUCAUCCUUGGGGCUUGUGGAGGCCGAAAAUCGAGAAGGAUGGGAAUGAGGGAAACACUUAGAUUUAGUUGCUCUAUUUGGCUAGUAUCCAAAUAUUGUAGUUUGGCAUCUUUGAAAUGCUAAGUUGUAGCUUCCACUUUUGUAUUUUCCACAUGUAACUAUUAUGUAGCAAAAUCUCACACCUCUCAAUAAGAUUGUGUAGUCCUUUUCCAUUGUGUAGCCCUUUACCAUUAAUCUCUUCAACAUAUGUAAAUCCUCUUCAUAAAGUAUUGUGCUAAUUUAUUCUCUUUUUCUUCUUCCAA